CCGAGUUUACAACUCCCAAACCCCCUGUGAACCUAUACCAUUACUGUUGCUUCGGCGGGUCAUUGCCCCGGGGAAAGGACGAGGUGCCGCCUAGGCUCCCCGGCCCGCCCCCGGAAACAGGCGCCUGCCGGGGGAAUCAAACUCUUCUGUAUUUCUUUAUCUAAUAUAUACUGUCUGAGUAAAAACUAAAAUGAAUCA
RNAcentral lists this unclassified non-coding RNA (198 nucleotides) under uncultured Paecilomyces. RNAcentral's name for it is "sequence contains ITS1". Lineage: Eukaryota; Fungi; Ascomycota; Eurotiomycetes; Eurotiales; Thermoascaceae. The record is from RNAcentral.